Molecule: ribosomal RNA, 503 nt
Filed under: Bacillaceae bacterium CL2.114
Lineage: Bacteria; Bacillati; Bacillota; Bacilli; Caryophanales; Bacillaceae
Description: bacterial SSU rRNA
Rfam family: Bacterial small subunit ribosomal RNA
Source: RNAcentral
AUCCCUGGCUCAGGACGAACGCUGGCGGCGUGCCUAAUACAUGCAAGUCGAGCGAAUCUUUGGGAGCUUGCUCCCGAAGGUUAGCGGCGGACGGGUGAGUAACACGUGGGCAACCUGCCUAUAAGACUGGGAUAACUUCGGGAAACCGGAGCUAAUACCGGAUAAUCCUUUUCCUCUCAUGAGGGAAAGCUGAAAGACGGUCUCGGCUGUCACUUAUAGAUGGGCCCGCGGCGCAUUAGCUAGUUGGUGAGGUAACGGCUCACCAAGGCGACGAUGCGUAGCCGACCUGAGAGGGUGAUCGGCCACACUGGGACUGAGACACGGCCCAGACUCCUACGGGAGGCAGCAGUAGGGAAUCUUCCGCAAUGGACGAAAGUCUGACGGAGCAACGCCGCGUGAACGAUGAAGGCUUUCGGGUCGUAAAGUUCUGUUGUUAGGGAAGAACAAGUAUCGGAGUAACUGCCGGUACCUUGACCGGUACCUAACCAGAAAGCCACGGCUAA